RNAcentral lists this long non-coding RNA (5001 nucleotides) under Sus scrofa (pig). Its description in RNAcentral is "lncRNA (ENSSSCG00065016432.1)". The record is from RNAcentral. Lineage: Eukaryota; Metazoa; Chordata; Mammalia; Artiodactyla; Suidae.
UAUGGAAGUUCCCAGGCUAGGGGUCAAAUCUGAGCUGCAGCUGCCAGCCUAUGCCAUAGCCACAGCAACGUGGGAUCCAAGCAGUGUCUGUGACCUAAACCACAGCUCAUGGCAAUGCCAGAUCCUUAACCUGCCGAGCGAGGCAGAGAUUGAACUGGCAUCUUCAUGGAUACUAGUUGGGUUCAUUACCCACUGAGCCACACAGCAACUCCAGAGAAUUUCUAAUUCAAGGGUUGCUUAAGGUGUCCUGAGAUAAUGUAACUUACUAACUAUGGUACUUAACACAAUCACAGAAUAAGGGCACAUUAUUAUUAUUCCACUCUGUCUUUUUAAAUGCUGUUCCUUUUACCUGAAAGUCUCCUCAGCCCAUCUCUUUUAGCAACCUGACCCAAAUCUCGGUGACUUUUUUUUUUUUUUCUGUGCCAGAUACAGAAAAAUCUCUUUUAUCUAUUAUUAGAAUAAAAUUUCAAGUCAUCAAAAUUAGCCAAAGGGUUUCCCACACUUUUAAUUUCCCUAUUAAAUUCAAUGGUCAAACAUUAUUCAAUACCACCCUUAUUGCUUUUAGCCUUUGUUAGUUUGCAAAACUGUGUUCUCUCCCAGUGCCCUUUGCCCAAAAAUAAGUAUGCACUUGGAGUGAAUGAACACAAAGGAGUUUCUGGACUUUAUGCUGGAGACUCUACAGGCUUUUUGCUUUCUCUCCAUCCUCUGCCUCUUCUCAACCCUUUGGAAAGGGUGGAGCUUGUGGCCUAUCAAUGUUAGCUCACAAUGGACAUCCUAUAGGCAAUUGUGUUAUACCCUAACAAAGAAACAAGUCUCUUUGCAAAUGCAUUUGACAGAGUGAGCAAGGAAGGCUAGAAAGUAGAGUUAUGCUGUCUGUAAAUGUUAGGCAUCUUUCUUCAGUGCAACUAUGCAGGUAUUGCAUAUGAAACUGUGUAGCUCACUUUGGCACAACUUGUUUAACAAAUAUGGUGAAUGAUACUAAUAUUUUAUGAUGUCACACACAAAAAAUCAUACACAUGGUGUGUACCAGGAGAAUUUCGUGACUAUAAUACACCUAUAGUUUUCUACUGUUUACCUGCACAACUGAUAGGUCAUAAUUCAUCUGUUACCUCUGGUAUCACGUAAAUUUAAUAUAUCUUGGAAGACUGAAUCACUCUUCUAUUUGUUCCUUAAAUGUACCACAUCUGCUUGUGUGUAUAAAUAGACACAUAUUUCAUCUUUGUAAUUACAGUGUAGAGAACAGACAAUGGUGUAUAGUUGGCAAGUCCCCAUCUGUCCAGAGAAUGAAUCAGUGUUGGCAAUCAAUGCUUGAGAGCAGUUCAGUUUGGAAGAUGCCCUGUCCUUUCUCUGCAAAGCUUAUUUUACAUCUUGGGCACCUCCAUCUGGUGCUUUUUUUUUGUUCACAUUUAUUUGAACUAAAUCCCCAGAGUGACCUCUUCCAUGUAGUCUCACUAGCCAGUGAAUCCUUCCCCAGGAUAACAGGAAAUCUGGCACUGCUUUUGAUGACAUAUUAAUGAUGCAAUGUCUGGUUUCUAUUAAAAAUCGAAAAGCAAAAUAUUUGAUGCCAGAAACAAAAGUAUAGGCAGUCAUAUAGAAACAUUAGUAUAUUGCUCAAUAUACUAGACAACCAGACUUGAGGGCUGCCCAUGGGUCCUGGAACCCAGUGGACAAUAGUGCAAGAAGCCUAAGUAAGGAUGGGAUAGGCAAAUACCAUAGGUGAACAUAGUCUUCUUCCAUUAUUGUCUUUUUGGGUUUUCUGUAUAAUAGUCCCAGUGAAGUUAGCUAGAAAGGUGGUAAUUACCAAUUUAGAUGCAAAGUAGGUUUCCAGUAAAGUGUCACAUAUCUCUUGAGUUCAGAAUUUUAAAGUGGACCCAGUUGCUUAAACUUUGCAAACAUGUAUGAUGCAUCAACAUUUGCCACAUGUAAGGGGUAUGGCUUUGGCCCCGUAAAGACUCAAGACUCAGCUGCAUUUGUGCUAUGAAUGAACUAGGUGCCAAGGGUUCCUCUAUCUAGAAAAUGUAAAUAAGUACCUACCCUAUGCCAAGCUCUGCAUGAUGUUCUGAGAAAAAACAUAGAUAAAUAAGGUUAGUACGCUGCUUUCAAGGGGAACACAACAUAGUUGGAGAGACAAAUACAUAAUGUGCAAAAGCAAUUCAGUGUAAGAAGAGCUGUGAUAGGGACAGGAUAUCUAAUAAACUGGGGAAAAGGUCACAGGCACCUUCAGGAAGAGAUGAUGGUCAGAAUCCAGGUACUCACUAUUAGUUUAUUCAUUCUUUCAUGGUCCAGGAAUUGGAGAUGUUUAAGAUGAAAUAUACUACAUGGGCAGGUGUUAUGGACUGAAUAGGUGCCAUGAGGUCACACAGGUAGGAUUUCUUUCAAUAUUCCCUUCAAGAGAAAGGGAGGAUAGUAAUAUUUAUAGAUUAAUAUCUAACACUUAGUCUUACUAUGUCCCUAUGACCAUGUAUCAUCUUUUAACCUGUUACCAAUCCUAUAAGCUAGGUGUUAUCUUGAGAAUGAGAACCUUCUGGAGAAAGAGAGCAAAAAAGUUGCAAUGCAGCACCAAGGUAAGUGCUCCAUUGUGGAACACAGCAAGGGUUAAAAAUUGGAAGAAUGUUGGAGAAAGUAUCUAAGAGAAUGUCCCACCCAGAGCACGUAUUUCUUGGACCAGAAUCUGGGGCAGCAUAAAGAUACUGAGUGUCUUAAAAGGACUAGUUGGAGGGACUGAAGAACACAGAAGGGCAAGGUGUGUAAUUAACUUUCUGAAAGUCUAUUUCAAAAUUUGGCCCUCAACAGUUUGAGAAGCAGGCUAUUCUCAAAAUUGACUUCUUUAGGAAAAUACUUUUCUCUUUCUUUCCUAUGCAUGGAAGUGGAUUUUUAAAAAAUAGCAGUUAACUGCUAAUUUUUAAAGAGGGUUUCCUAUGUGCCAAGAAUUGUUUCAAGCACUUAUCACAUGUGAUUUCAUUUAACUCAACUAUAUGAAGGAUGAGCUAUUAAAAAAAACUCACUCCCAUUUUACAUAUGGGAAAACUGAGAUUUGGAGAUUCAGGGACUCAUCCAAGGUUCACAUCUCUCAGAAAGCCAUUGAGCCAAGUUUACAACUCCAGAGGCUGAUUGCAGGAGCCUGCACUUUUCAUUCCAAACCGAGGAAAGUGUUAGAUUAUAAUUUAAAACAUUUCAGCUAUGGUGGAAAAAUCAAAGAAGUAAAUUGUAGCAAGAUGUGUCCUUUCAAAAUUCAAAUACGGUUUAAGUAUUUAAAGAUUUUUUGCUGUGAGGCAUUACAGCCAUCAGAUAAAUGUGCACCAUUUCAGGCGGAGAUUGGAAGCAAUUCGGUGGUAGCUUUGAGCCCUCCGCUGUGGUUUCCUGCAGCUGUGAUUUUUCACAGAUGCAGUUUGGGGUUAUCUUGUCACUAACUUUUUAGUUCCAGAGCCUUCAGAAAGCUAACGUUCCUCUCCAUUUUUCUCUUUAUUUCCAGAAGACUUGGACUAUCCCUGAAACAUCUGAAGUUAGGACUGGUGGUGCGCCCUUUGUUGUGUUAAAAUCUUGCUCCUCAGGCUAUUUUCCCUUGUUUCAAUCGCCUCCUUCAUUUUCCAAGUCAUUUUCAUCCUGAAAGGAAAAAAAAAAAGGCUCUGUGUUUUGAUGAUUUUGUUGAUUUUUCACUGGAAAGAGUCUGCAAAAACGCACUUCAAAAUAUUUUCAAUGGUAGCAAACAGUCUGGGAGGCGUUUAAAUGCAAUGGAAAAAUAAGGGACUCAGGAGGAAGGGGUUUUUUUAGGAAAUCUGCACAAGAAAAAAAGGUUCAAGCCAUUGAAAAGGCAGUUUUGUCUGCCAAAGUGACCAUUCUGGUCUAUUUCACACAUGAGUCUUCUUUCCUGGGAGCUCACACUCCAAGGUUUUUGUGUUGAUGACAGCAGGCAAAUGCAGAAUAAACCAGGAGGCAGAGUAGAGCAAGUGGGGACUUGGACAGGAGGACCUGGGGCGAAUUUCUGAGCUCUACCUCUGCCAGUCUCAGUCUUCUCAUCUGUAAAUUAGGGAUAAUGAUGAUAAUUACCUCAGAGUUGCAAUGAAGAUUAAAUGAUAUGUAUAAAGCUGUUUGCAAAGUGCUUGAUAUCUACUUAGAGCCAAAUACCAGUAGAUAUUAUUUUUAUAUUAUUAUUUUUAUAAGCCUCUUUUCCUCUCUUGCAUUAAAAUGAGAAAGGUAAAAAUAUCUUUGUGUUGGGAUUGACUCUUCAUUCAAAGGAACCAUCGAAGACUUCAGUUUCAAAGGAGAUUUUUUUAACUCUAUAGAGAGGAACUGGCAAAUAUAACAAUAAAAGCACAAUACAAUAUAUUUUUUUAAAAAAAGACUUCAUCCUUCAUCUGGUCCAACCUCUCCCAACCUGAGAGCCAUGCCUCCUCUUCCUAUCAGAGGCAGCCACAGCGUGCUCAUUGUUGUAUCAUUCAUUACCGAUGAACACCCCAGUCUUGAAUGAGCCCUCGCUGUAUUGUGGGAAAACAAGCUCAGACUUUCAGAAAGUUCCUGUUCUAAGUACUACUUCCCAGUAAUUUCUACCUGUUAGCUUCAGUUCAGCUCCCCAAGGGGGUAUGAUCCCUUUUCUAUAUGACAGGUCCCCAAAUACAUGAGGAUAUGUGGGUGAGUUAUUUAAUUCCUCUGGGUCCUCAGUUUACUCCUCUGUAAAAUGGAGACCAUGGUUUCAUCCUCAAGGGGAUUUCCCGAUGAUUAAAAAUAUGUUUGAAAAGAACUCAGCAUAUAGUAGGUACUCAAUAGGCUGUAGUAUGUAGUAUGCCAAACCCAGGUUAGGUACCUCCUGAGAUGCCAUGCAUAUCUCGGCUAUGUGACUAAUGACUCCAGGAAGCUGGCCUGGCACCAACUGCUUUUCUGCAGGAUUUGGUCUUCAUUGAGCUACAUGGCAGCCCUCCAUGGUUCUAGGCUCUCUCUCCCCUGGUCAGCCCGGCCUGCUGUGGUGACUUUUCUCUGUUUCUUGUGUCACUGAUAGUCAUGCUC